ACAGGCUUAACACAUGCAAGUCGAGGGGCAUCAGGAAGAAAGCUUGCUUUCUUUGCUGGCGACCGGCGCACGGGUGAGUAACACGUAUCCAACCUGCCCUUUACUCGGGGAUAGCCUUUCGAAAGAAAGAUUAAUACCCGAUAGCAUAAUGAUUCCGCAUGGUUUCAUUAUUAAAGGAUUCCGGUAAAGGAUGGGGAUGCGUUCCAUUAGGUUGUUGGUGAGGUAACGGCCCACCAAGCCUUCGAUGGAUAGGGGUUCUGAGAGGAAGGUCCCCCACAUUGGAACUGAGACACGGUCCAAACUCCUACGGGAGGCAGCAGUGAGGAAUAUUGGUCAAUGGGCGCUAGCCUGAACCAGCCAAGUAGCGUGAAGGAUGAAGGCUCUAUGGGUCGUAAACUUCUUUUAUAUAAGAAUAAAGUGCAGUAUGUAUACUGUUUUGUAUGUAUUAUAUGAAUAAGGAUCGGCUAACUCCGUGCCAGCAGCCGCGGUAAUACGGAGGAUCCGAGCGUUAUCCGGAUUUAUUGGGUUUAAAGGGAGCGUAGGUGGACUGGUAAGUCAGUUGUGAAAGUUUGCGGCUCAACCGUAAAAUUGCAGUUGAUACUGUCAGUCUUGAGUACAGUAGAGGUGGGCGGAAUUCGUGGUGUAGCGGUGAAAUGCUUAGAUAUCACGAAGAACUCCGAUUGCGAAGGCAGCUCACUGGACUGCAACUGACACUGAUGCUCGAAAGUGUGGGUAUCAAACAGGAUUAGAUACCCUGGUAGUCCACACAGUAAACGAUGAAUACUCGCUGUUUGCGAUAUACAGUAAGCGGCCAAGCGAAAGCAUUAAGUAUUCCACCUGGGGAGUACGCCGGCAACGGUGAAACUCAAAGGAAUUGACGGGGGCCCGCACAAGCGGAGGAACAUGUGGUUUAAUUCGAUGAUACGCGAGGAACCUUACCCGGGCUUAAAUUGCAGUGGAAUGAUGUGGAAACAUGUCAGUGAGCAAUCACCGCUGUGAAGGUGCUGCAUGGUUGUCGUCAGCUCGUGCCGUGAGGUGUCGGCUUAAGUGCCAUAACGAGCGCAACCCUUAUCUUUAGUUACUAACAGGUUAUGCUGAGGACUCUAGAGAGACUGCCGUCGUAAGAUGUGAGGAAGGUGGGGAUGACGUCAAAUCAGCACGGCCCUUACGUCCGGGGCUACACACGUGUUACAAUGGGGGGUACAGAAGGCAGCUAGCGGGUGACCGUAUGCUAAUCCCAAAAUCCUCUCUCAGUUCGGAUCGAAGUCUGCAACCCGACUUCGUGAAGCUGGAUUCGCUAGUAAUCGCGCAUCAGCCACGGCGCGGUGAAUACGUUCCCGGGCCUUGUACACACCGCCCGUCAAGCCAUGGGAGCCGGGGGUACCUGAAGUACGUAACCGCAAGGAUCGUCCUAGGGUAAAACUGGUGACUGGGGCU
RNAcentral lists this ribosomal RNA (1437 nucleotides) under uncultured organism. RNAcentral describes it as "SSU rRNA". It matches the Rfam family "Bacterial small subunit ribosomal RNA". The record is from RNAcentral.